UACGUAGGGGGCAAGCGUUGUCCGGAAUCAUUGGGCGUAAAGAGCGCGUAGGCGGCCCUGUAAGUCCGCUGUGAAAGUCAAGGGCUCAACCCUUGGAUGCCGGUGGAUACUGCAGGGCUAGAGUCCGGAAGAGGCGAGUGGAAUUCCUGGUGUAGCGGUGAAAUGCGCAGAUAUCAGGAGGAACACCGAUGGCGAAGGCAGCUCGCUGGGACGGUACUGACGGCUGAGACGCGAAAGCGUGGGGAGCGAACAGG
Molecule: ribosomal RNA, 254 nt
Filed under: uncultured bacterium
Lineage: Bacteria
Description: partial 16S ribosomal RNA
Rfam family: Bacterial small subunit ribosomal RNA
Source: RNAcentral